This 253-nucleotide ribosomal RNA is filed under the name uncultured bacterium. RNAcentral's name for it is "partial 16S ribosomal RNA". It matches the Rfam family "Bacterial small subunit ribosomal RNA", at positions 524 to 776 of the family's 1533-position model. The record is from RNAcentral.
UACAGAGACUGCAAGCGUUAUUCGGAUUCACUGGGCGUAAAGGGUGCGCAGGCGGCCAAGUGUGUUAGGCGUGAAAGCCCGGGGCUUAACCUCGGAAUUGCACCUAAAACUACUUGGCUAGAGCAUUGGAGAGGGUAGCGGAAUUCACGGUGUAGCAGUGAAAUGCGUAGAUAUCGAGAGGAACACCUGCGGCGAAGGCGGGUUGCUGGGCUGAUACUGACGCUGAGGCGCGAAAGCUAGGGGAGCGAACGGG